Molecule: non-coding RNA, 71 nt
Organism: Parelaphostrongylus tenuis
Lineage: Eukaryota; Metazoa; Nematoda; Chromadorea; Rhabditida; Metastrongylidae
Source: the annotation of a GenBank genome assembly
GCCUCGAUGAUGUAGUGGUAGCACGCUUACCCGGUAUAGAUGAAAUGCGGGUUCGACUCCCGUUUGAGGUC